RNAcentral lists this ribosomal RNA (398 nucleotides) under uncultured bacterium. RNAcentral describes it as "partial 16S ribosomal RNA". It matches the Rfam family "Bacterial small subunit ribosomal RNA", at positions 523 to 918 of the family's 1533-position model. The record is from RNAcentral.
AUACGUAGGGUGCGAGCGUUGUCCGGAAUUACUGGGCGUAAAGAGCUCGUAGGUGGUUUGUCGCGUCGUCUGUGAAAUUCCGGGGCUUAACUCCGGGCGUGCAGGCGAUACGGGCAUAACUUGAGUACUGUAGGGGAGACUGGAAUUCCUGGUGUAGCGGUGAAAUGCGCAGAUAUCAGGAGGAACACCGGUGGCGAAGGCGGGUCUCUGGGCAGUAACUGACGCUGAGGAGCGAAAGCAUGGGUAGCAAACAGGAUUAGAUACCCUGGUAGUCCAUGCCGUAAACGGUGGGCGCUAGGUGUAGGGGUCUUCCACGACUUCUGUGCCGUAGCUAACGCAUUAAGCGCCCCGCCUGGGGAGUACGGCCGCAAGGCUAAAACUCAAAGGAAUUGGCGGGG